AGGAGUUUGAUCCUGGCUCAGAACGAACGCUGGCGGCAUGCCUAACACAUGCAAGUCGAACGAAGCCUUCGGGCUUAGUGGCGCACGGGUGCGUAACGCGUGGGAAUCUGCCCUUGGGUUCGGAAUAACAGUUAGAAAUGACUGCUAAUACCGAAUGAUGUCUUCGGACCAAAGAUUUAUCGCCCAAGGAUGAGCCCGCGUCGGAUUAGCUAGUUGGUGAGGUAAAGGCUCACCAAGGCGACGAUCCGUAGCUGGUCUGAGAGGAUGAUCAGCCACACUGGGACUGAGACACGGCCCAGACUCCUACGGGAGGCAGCAGUGGGGAAUAUUGGACAAUGGGCGAAAGCCUGAUCCAGCAAUGCCGCGUGAGUGAUGAAGGCCUUAGGGUUGUAAAGCUCUUUACCCGGGAUGAUAGUGACAGUACCGGGAGAAUAAGCCCCGGCUAACUCCGUG
RNAcentral lists this ribosomal RNA (453 nucleotides) under uncultured bacterium. Its description in RNAcentral is "bacterial SSU rRNA". It matches the Rfam family "Bacterial small subunit ribosomal RNA", at positions 1 to 507 of the family's 1533-position model. The record is from RNAcentral.